GGGUCAGUAGGUUCGUCGUGCCACCGGUACGUACUGGUCUCACUGAUUCCUCCUUCCUGAGGAACCGUAAUGCCAUUAAUUUGGUGUUGCGGGGAAACAGGACUGUUACUUUGAAAAAAUUAGAGUGUUUAAAGCAAGCUAACGCUUGAAUACAUUAGCAUGGAAUAAUGAAAUAGGACGAUCGAUCCUAUUUUGUUGGUUUCUAGGAUUGACGUA
Molecule: ribosomal RNA, 216 nt
Filed under: Glomeromycotina sp.
Lineage: Eukaryota; Fungi; Glomeromycota
Description: partial small subunit ribosomal RNA
Rfam family: Eukaryotic small subunit ribosomal RNA (bases 40-216)
Source: RNAcentral